AGGGUUUGAUCCUGGCUCAGGAUGAACGCUAGCGGCAGGCCUAAUACAUGCAAGUCGAGGGGUAACAGGAAGUGCUUGCACUUCGCUGACGACCGGCGCACGGGUGAGUAUCGCGUAUACAAUCUGCCUCAUACUAGGGAAUAGCCCGAAGAAAUUUGGAUUAAUGCCCUAUAGUAUCUUUUUAAGGCAUCUUAUUUAGAUUAAAGGUUACGGUAUGAGAUGAGUAUGCGUUCUAUUAGCUAGUAGGUGUGGUAACGGCACACCUAGGCUACGAUAGAUAGGGGCCCUGAGAGGGGGAUCCCCCACACUGGUACUGAGACACGGACCAGACUCCUACGGGAGGCAGCAGUAAGGAAUAUUGGACAAUGGGCGAAAGCCUGAUCCAGCCAUGCCGCGUGCAGGAUGACUGCCCUAUGGGUUGUAAACUGCUUUUAUAUAGGAAGAAAAAUUUUCUCGUGAGAAAACUUGACGGUACUAUAAGAAUAAGGAUCGGCUAACUCCGUGCCAGCAGCCGCGGUAAUACGGAGGAUCCAAGCGUUAUCCGGAAUCAUUGGGUUUAAAGGGUCCGUAGGUGGACAAAUAAGUCAGAGGUGAAAUCCUGCAGCUCAACUGUAGAACUGCCUUUGAUACUGUUUGUCUUGAGUUAUUAUGAAGUGGUUAGAAUGUGUAGUGUAGCGGUGAAAUGCAUAGAUAUUACACAGAAUACCGAUUGCGAAGGCAGAUCACUAAUAAUUAACUGACACUGAGGGACGAAAGCGUGGGUAGCGAACAGGAUUAGAUACCCUGGUAGUCCACGCCGUAAACGAUGGUCACUAGCUGUUUGGACUUCGGUCUGAGUGGCUAAGCGAAAGUGAUAAGUGACCCACCUGGGGGAGUACGUUCGCAAGAAUGAAACUCAAAGGAAUU
This 906-nucleotide ribosomal RNA is filed under the name uncultured bacterium. RNAcentral describes it as "bacterial SSU rRNA". It matches the Rfam family "Bacterial small subunit ribosomal RNA", at positions 8 to 911 of the family's 1533-position model. The record is from RNAcentral.